AGCCUGCUAUCCUUUCUCCUGCCAACCACCCUCGUAAAUGACUGGUAAAAAUUGGGUUAUAGGAUUCAGGUAAGGAAAGAGAGAGAGGAGGUCAGUGGGGCUGUGUGCUAAAUACCCACAGCUACUCAGGGAGAGUGCAUAACAUCCUGAGAGUGGUGGUGGUGGUAAUGUGCCUGUCCAGCUCUGAGCUCAGUGCUAUACUUACAGUACCUCACUAAAGGUCUGAGAGGAUGCUGCCUCUCCUGGCUUGUGUGAAAGUGCUUGAUUUGAGAUGAUGAAAAGGCCAUUGCAAUUAGCAAGCUCUGGUUCGUUUUGCCAUAUCUAGAAUGGAGUGGUAGAGACAGUGGCAGCUGCCAAUAACUUCAGCUUACAAAGAACAGACAAUUAGGCCGGGGCCUGUUACCACCGCUAGUCCCACACCUCCAGACCUUUGCACUGGCCCUAGCCCUGAGCACCUGCAGGUCAAUAGGUAAUGAUACUGUGUGGAGCAACAGCUUGGAACAGAGGUUAAUCAAACCACAACCACACACGAGUUGCAUCCAGCUUAUUAUUCUCACCACAAAGGCCAAGAGGGUGAGAGGAAGAAAGGGAGGAAAAAUGGCAUCAGCGAGGGAAUGAUCUCACUUACACGGUUCUCAGGUUUGCACUGGCAUCCCAGGAUUGCUUUAAAACACAUAUAUUUUUACUUUUAAUCUUUACCUAUUUAACUUUAGAGUUGUUGCAUUUGACCCAUUUUCUGUACAAUUUACGUACUGUUGUCCUUUCUUUUUUCCUUUUUUUUUUUUUUGAGUGUUUUCUCUUUUCCCAUGUUUUCUUUACAUCCCUGUCUGUCACUCUCUGCUAAGCUAUGGCCCAGAUCCAAACCUGACCCUACACAACAGUGGUUGUCAACAGUUUCAUUUGAAGGGUACAGAAGGAAUUUUGGAAGCCCUUUCUCUGAUAGAGCUUGAAGCUUUCAAUCAGCAUCUGUGGUGAUUUAUACUGCUGUCAGAUUGAUGUGUCUGGUCUAUCCUGUCCAUCACUUGCUAAAAAUAUGUCUAUUCCGUUUCAAUUGCAUUCAUGUGUUUACAUAGAUAAGGAAAAAGAUUACAAAACCCCCAAAUAUCUUUAUUCUUUUCUCCUGUCCUCAUUUCUAAUAAAAAAAAAUUAUAUAUUAUUAAGAAAAUUAUGAACUUUAUAAAUCCCUUUCCCAAAGCAGGCACAAUGUGCUUUUAAUUAAAAUUUAGAUAAAUAAGACUAUAUUGAAAUAAAUUAACUCUUAUAGAACACCUAGAAUGUUUUCUGAGGAUAUUACAGGUCAUUUAUAAUUUCAUUUCAUUUAAUUUUUUUCAAAGUUUCAUUGUAAUGAUGCAAGUCAUGUUAUCAUAC
This is a long non-coding RNA of Astatotilapia calliptera (eastern happy), 1368 nucleotides long. The record is from Ensembl. Lineage: Eukaryota; Metazoa; Chordata; Actinopteri; Cichliformes; Cichlidae.